AUAAAUAAUGGUGAUGGAGUUCACCAAAACUGCAUUAUGCUAAUGACUCCUACAGGUAA
This is a regulatory RNA element of Sporanaerobacter acetigenes DSM 13106, 59 nucleotides long. It matches the Rfam family "Fluoride riboswitch aptamer (crcB RNA motif)". NCBI's taxonomy places the organism in Bacteria, Bacillati, Bacillota, Tissierellia, Tissierellales, Sporanaerobacteraceae. The record is from Rfam.